Molecule: ribosomal RNA, 519 nt
Filed under: uncultured Glomus
Lineage: Eukaryota; Fungi; Glomeromycota; Glomeromycetes; Glomerales; Glomeraceae
Description: SSU rRNA
Rfam family: Eukaryotic small subunit ribosomal RNA
Source: RNAcentral
AGCAGCCGCGGUAAUUCCAGCUCCAAUAGCGUAUAUUAAAGUUGCUGCAGUUAAAAAGCUCGUAGUUGAAUUUCGGGAUCAAUAUGUUGGUCGUGCCUCGGUACGUACUAGCUUAUUGGUUUCUCCCCUCUGACGAACCAUGAUGUCAUUUAUUUGGUGUUAUGGGAAAUCAGGACUGUUACUUUGAAAAAUUAGAGUGUUUAAAGCAGGCUCACGCUUGAAUACAUUAGCAUGGAAUAAUGAAAUAGGACGUUUGAUUCUAUUUUGUUGGUUUCUAGGAUCGACGUAAUGAUUAAUAGGGAUAGUUGGGGGCAUUAGUAUUCAAUUGUCAGAGGUGAAAUUCUUGGAUUUAUUGAAGACUAACUACUGCGAAAGCAUUUGCCAAGGAUGUUUUCAUUAAUCAAGAACGAAAGUUAGGGGAUCGAAGACGAUCAGAUACCGUCGUAGUCUUAACCAUAAACUAUGCCGACUAGGGAUCGGAUGAUGUUAAUUUUUAAUGUACUCAUUCGGCGCCUUAAC